This is a long non-coding RNA of Lycium barbarum (goji berry), 7832 nucleotides long. RefSeq lists it as uncharacterized. The transcript is spliced from 2 exons. The record is from RefSeq and is a predicted model, not a curated record. NCBI's taxonomy places the organism in Eukaryota, Viridiplantae, Streptophyta, Magnoliopsida, Solanales, Solanaceae.
UGAAGCUGUAACGAUAUUUUGUGGCGCCCUCCUAAUACACACUGCAAAAGACAAAAUCUUGAUAUUUAAAUGGAGAAAGGUAGAGGAAAGUGCCCAUUAUCCACCGAGUUCCAACCCAGCACCAUAGUCCCUUGGAGUUUGCUGGUUAUCAAAACAAGAAGAAGAAUGACAAUAAUAAAAUCUGUCAAAGACCUUUCAUGUAUUCUUCUAAGAGAACAAGUGUGUUUAAGAAUACUUGAUGGCUUUCUUUCUGCAGAUUAUUAAGCUACGCGAACACCAUUUGAACAAAGUUCAGUCUUUUUUGUGUUUGGUGGAUUUUCUUUCUUUGUUGAAACGUGGGAACGAUGCCUAAUACUUUAUUGAACUCUCACUCCUCUCUUAUGUAUUGGUUUUGAAGGAGGUGAUUGUCGGAUGAAACAUCAUUUUUCGUCUUGUUUGUUUUCUUUUCUCAAUGAAUAAUUUUCUUGAUAACCUCUUUGGUUUGGUGAACAUAACACAGUUCCUUAAGUGUAUGACAAUAGCUUUUAGAGAGAGACUCCGUACUUCUAGAACCAAAGAAACCUUAACCAACAAAUCCUACAAGGAAGUUUUGGCGUAUGAGCCAACAUUGAUCAUGAUUGGGAAUUGUGGAAAGUGGAUAUCGUGCAAAAACACAAAUUCAGGUUAUCUAGGGAACACAUUUGGAGAAGGACAGAGUUCCUUAAGAUGGUGUUUGAUUGGGAGGUUUGAAAAGAGUGUGGGAUCAUCUGGUAGGUAGCCUCUUCGCUAGUGAAAGCAUUACAUGUGUUGGGUAAGGGUUAGAAGGUGGCCUGAGAGAACACAUUCUGAAAAAUGAAGAAGUUACAAGGGGGUAGUGGUCGUAACAUCACCAGCUUAGCAACCCAUCUAUGGUGUAAUGAACUGAAGCAGAGCCACAAUGGUGGCUAUGGUUCAACAGAACCCAGUAGCAUUGGUCUGCCACAAUGGUGGCUAUGGUUCAGCAGAACCCAGUAGCAUUGGUUCAGACCUUGCAUUUGUGAUAAAUAAAUUCAUUUAAUAUAUACAAAUAAUCUAUCAAGAACCUAGUAAGAAAAAGUAAUUACGCUCUAGAAUUCAUAAACUAAAAAUCCUGGCUCCGCCUUUAGUAAUGAAUCUUAAAAAAGUGGGAAGUGUAUGUGGAUUUUUUGUUGAUGUGGAUCGUAACUUACCGGUUUUAACUAGCUAGGGUUAGGUUGUUUGUAAAAGAAGAGGAAAGGGUGGCACUGUCUAUAUAGCAACGGAGAGGGGAAAUGACGAGGAAGGAAGAGAAAGGGAGAUGGAAGAUGAGGAGAGAUAGUUUGUUCUCAGUUAAAUCAUACUGCUAGAAAUUAUUAGUAAGAGAAGAGUCAGAUUUUUUGAACUUAUAGGUUUGGGAUCCCCAGGGCGCCUACGAACGUGUGCUUCUUUGCUUGGUUGGCUGUAAGGAAACGAUAUUGAGAGUUGAGAACCUGAGGAAAAAGAGGAUCACUUAUUCACUCAUGUUGGCUGGUGCUUAUGAGUAAAUGUUCGAGAGAAUAUGGAGGUCACCUCCUUCUAUAUUUUCAGGUCGCAACACACUUGUCGGGUGGUCUCGGAUUCGUUUGAAUUACCAUGGGCGAUGCUAUGCACAGCGAAAGACGCAAUAUACAGUUGGACCUUUUGAAGAAGAAAAGAAGACACAUUGUAUUGAAUGUGCCCCUCUGGCCUUCGUGUGGAUUAUGAAUAUAUCAAGGCAGAGAACUAGGAGAACAUCUGAAAGAGUUUGAGAAUGAUAUUGUACAUUUGGAGGAGUAGCCUCUUGUCCGUAGCUUCUGUGGUGCACCAAUAAAGUCCUUGCUUGUAUAGAAGAUGAGGUAUCUCUUAAAAAGAAUUAUAUUUUUGUGUAAGUUCUAUACUUUUUGGUGGAGUGCUUCUAUAUGGGAGAAAAUUACUUUAUCUCAACCAAUUUGGUUACCCAUGAGUGAUACCUUGUCGGCAUUCUUACAAGCUCAAAUUUGGUAUUAGAUUGUGUUAUAACUAAUCUAUUAUUUUUGCUGGAACUUAAAGGUUUCAUUAUAUGGAUUUCUUAUUUAUUUGUUACAAUAGUAAUGAUGAAUCCCUGGUUUUAGUCAAGCAAGGAGCUGAGGCUGUAAGUUAAUAAAGAUUCAGGUGCCAUUUAACAUCCCUGCAAAUGCUUGUGAGAAGAAGCUUGAACAGAAUGUAAUUUGUGUAUUUGUAAAUAUGGUUUCCAGCAAUCUUUGCACUGAUGAAUAUACUGGUUACCUUUCUCAAAAAAAGAAGAAGGGCUUCCCUGCAAAUGUUUCUAGCAUCUCUCUCCUAUCUUAGUGCAGCGAGUUUGUGUUCCGGCGUGUCUUGAAACUUUAAAGAUUACAAACCAUCAUUUACUAGUCUCUCCAUCAAUUAGGCUUUUUCCUCGGUUGUUAGCAGAGAGUUUUUGCAUCAACUUUGUGGGUUGGAGGUCCAUCGUUUGCAAAGAAAUACAGGCAUCCAACUUUAUUUCUCAAAAAAGAUUAAAAAAAAAAGAAAGUACAGUCAUCCAACUGUGGAAUGAAAGCUUACUCUUAAACGCUUAAUUGGGUUGGUGGAAAUGAUGUCUCAGGGUUGUGUUGGAAAAUUUUGAAUAACGAAGAAGCAGGCCAGGGGCAUGACAAAAGCAAUACUCCAUUGCUUUGUGCUAUUGACGCUGCUACACAUCUCACCUUUGAGUAUAUUGAAGGUCCCUUCGUGAAAAUAUAUUACUUGAGAUUAUUGAAGAGAAGAUGGCAGAUAUUGAAACCCUUAUUGAUGAUACUAUUGGAAAACUACAUGAUGGUGGCCUUGUCGAUGUGGAUUUGACAACAUCAAUCAUGUUGAUGAGGAGUUUUGCCUCAGUGAGUAUUAUUCUGUAUAUAAGUGUCUCUUUUGAAAGUACAAGAGGGGGGUGAAUUUUAAGCCUGUUAAAAAAUCUAGUCGACUACUGUUUGGUGCCAGUCGACUCAUAGCGAGACAACCUGCACAAAAUUAUCAGUCCUUCGAUUUGCACAAGUAUAAACCACAAUAAAUAGUAAGGGUGCAGAAUAUAAUAUGAGAGCAAUAAAUAAAUGACACCAGGAAUUUUUAUAUUGGUUCGGAACCAAUGUGGUAUCCUAAUCCAGUCCCCUUGGGUUGCAAGGAGGUUAUCUCUUUAAGUUCUUUGUAGUUUGAGUUGAGUACAGCCUUUGUGAUUUUCCUCGUUCACCACCAACGUUUACAAGGUUAGUUUUCACUCGCUCACCAACAACGAACAAGGUUUGGUUUUGACACGCUCACCAACAACGUACAAAGUUAGUUUUUCACUCGCUCACCAACAACGACUCUUUGGUUUUCACUCGCUCACCAAAUAAACGAACAAUAACACAACCUCUCAAUACAAAGCCUCCAACUAUACUAUAUCUCUCCUCUUUUUUUUUUUGUUUACACAGUAAGUCACUCAGGAUUACAAUGCUUAUGAAAAGUAGAGCAAAGAACUUGAGAAGGUUGAGACGAAAGUAUAAGUGGCUGCGUACUUUUCUUCUUUUAAGAGCUCGUAUUUAUAGCCUUUCAACUUGCUCUGGCUAUUGCAUAACCCAAGGGAAUUUCACAGGUUGUUCCUCAAUCUUUUUUAUGAUUACUUGUUGAUUGCUUCCUUAAAUCUUGGAGUGAUAUCUUCUCCUUGAUUCCUUGACCGAGUAGAGCUUCCCAAUAUUCAUUGUAUAAUUUCAUUGGAAGUCUUUCCUUGUUGUUGCAGAUUUUUGGUACUUGAGAUAUUAAAGAUCCUUCCUUCCAAUUCUUUAAUGAAUUGAGCAGAAGUAAUUUUCCUUGUAGGGCAUUGUAAUUAAAAUCAAUUCCUUAAUUACCUUGAUCCCUUCCUUCAUGCUAAAUCUUGAUUUAUUCUCUUUCUUUGAAUAUGGCUUGAUAUAUUUAAUUACUGCUGCAUCUUUGUGUGCUUUCCUUCCUUCACAUUUAGCCGUAAAGUAUAUUACUCAGCACCCCAUAUUUUCAUAACUCUUGCUACGUUCCUCAAAUCAAAUGCUUCCCAAAAUAGGCUGUAGUGGAAAUAUUCUUUCUUCCAUAAUAAGCAAAUCAUCUUAUUUUGUAGUAAAUAUUUCCUUCCCCAAUUCUUCUUGAACUUGGAUCUUGAUCACUCUGAAUGUAGACUCUUUUAUGAACUUGAGACUUCUUGCAUAUCUUGAUGCUCCAUAAAUUUUGAGUCUUCUUUAAGUAACAAAUUGGUCUUGAUCUUUUCCUAAAGCAUCGAGAACCAAUUAAUUCCUUUCUUUAUUGGCAUUGCAUUUGAGACCCUCUAAUAUUCUGAAUCCCUUAGGACAUGGUCUUUCUUUGUAAAUGUCCUCGUAGGAUAAUUUCCAGCAAAUAGUCUCAACCCCUUUUUUCUUGAUUUCAUAGACUUUCCAACCUCUAGAUUGUAGUGUAGCCAUAGAGAUAUUUUCCUUCCAUAAAAUUAAUAUUGUAAUAAAUCUUCACUGUAGUAAAUAUCCUUUUCGUGAUUCUUGUAACUUGAUUUGGGAACGAUUUAUACAAUAGAAAAGACCCUCUAAAGAGUCUUAUCUCAAUCAUAAUAGCUAAAAUAGUGGCAAAAAUGAAUCGAGCGGGCAGCAAGAAUUAGAAUCAACCUAUAUAACAUCUCUUCCCAUGUAGUCGGCAUUCUAGAAGCAAAGCUUCCCGGUCGCCCAUAUCUUCUCCCGUAAUUCCAUCUCGUAAUAUCUUCUUCUUCAUAUUUAUUUAGAUCUUCACCAAAUCUUUAAUCAUCAAAUAAACCUGUACAAAAAUAAAUUUACCACAAGUAAAUGUUCUUUUAUUAAAUAAUUGUGUUGGUUUGUUAUCAUCAAAAUUAGUAGGUGAAACCUUAGACCUAACAUCUUUAAUUCUCAUGAUUGUCUUUUUGUUCAACGAAUGCUUUUUCUGCUGUUUGUAUAGGCUGAUGUUCUGCAUUUACCUUAAGUGAAAUUAGUUACUACCAAAUGUGUUUAUGUUUCCAGGUACUGAUCAAAUUUGGUCUAAGCAUUACUUCAACACUUCCAGAUGAUAAUGCAGUAGAUCUAUAUGUCCUGGAACUGCUUUACUCUCUAUUCACUCUUCUUGCGAAAUCUGAUGAGCUCAGUCUUAUCACCUAUGUUAUGUGUUCUGGACAUGUUCUAGAAUGAACAUCUCCUCAAGCAUUGUCUUCUGCUGUGAUGUGUACUUAAUGGUGAUACGUAAUAUCUACAUUAGAUGAUAAUCUAUUUCAGGGAAAGAGAAUAUUAAACUUUAGUAACCUUUUCAAAUAAAAUUUUCCUUUAUUCCAAGUAUUAAUGUCAUUCAAGCCAUAUAAUUCUAGGAACAUGCAGUUCUUCCAUCUAAGCAGUAUUUUUCUAGUGGUAUUAACAAUUUUCUACUUCUCUAAUAGUGCUCUUUUCUGGAAUAUGCUUGUGAUGAGUGUUUUUCUGAUAUUAGUCUAAGCCUUCUUAAGGAUUAAGGUGCGGUUAAUAAGGAUCUAAAACUUAAUUUUCAUCGCGAUUGAGUAUACAGCUUCUGCUUGCAACGACAUUCCACACUGGUGUAUUGCAACUGUGUUAUACAAUCCUCUAAUCUCUUCAUUUUUGGCAACAAACAUAUAGACAGCAGUUUUAGUUUUAGUCUUUACUUGCUUGUUUAAUGGUAAGCAGAUGGACCAGAUAGUUGUUUUAUACAAGAAAUCCUCAAAGCAGUGGUCGUCAACGUUCGAGAUGCAAGCCCAAGGAAAAGCCUCUGUUCGAAUAUGUCCCUUUCUAUUUACUACCUCGUUUUCCGCAGAAAAAUAAAUGGUGUCAAAUACCAAAUAUAUCUUAUUGUGUUUCUGCUUUGGGUUUUGUGAUAUUUCAGCGAGGCUAAGAGAUAGAAACCGUAAUAUGAUUUGUUAGCUUCCCCAGUUAGAAUUGAAUUUUGUUCUCGAUGUGCAUCCAUUACCUUCUUCUUUUUUCAUCAAAAUAAAAAAUUAUACUUGUAUGUUCCCUCGAAAGAGUAAGCGCCUUGUCUUUCACUACAACUUCUCAAUUGCAGAUGCCCUUAUAAUCUUAUAUGAUUAAAUCCUCAAAGCAGUUCUUUCUAUCAAUUAGAGAGGGAUGGUACUAUUUAUCCUGUCCUUUUCUUAUUUCAUGGAUUCUAGUACAACUGCGUUCUUGCACCUCUUUGUUCCCCUUCGAAGUAUUAUUCAAUAGGGUACUUGGAGAUCUUCAGAUGUACUUAAUUCAGGGUCAUCAUCUCUAAGGCAUAGCAAAUCUAAGAUAGCCUUUUCACAAAUAACAGACCAUAGUCCUGUACAGAGAUUAAAGGAAGUUACAUUUCUAUGCUGUGGGAAUUUAUUUAUUUUCGGUUGUGGAGACCACGGCUUAGCAGAACAUUUGGCCACAACUGGAGCGGACAAUGUUUUUGUGUAUGCUUGUAAACUUGCCCUGUUUGAACUUUUCUUCACACAAUUAUCCUGUUUUUGCAUUUUUACAGUACAAUUGAUCAUUAAGAGUACCUUAAUUUUUCAUGAAUAGGUUUCUAAUUGCUUUACAUUGAAUAUCAACUUAGGGGCAGGAGAAACAGAAUGCUUGUAGCACUGACAAACGUGUGUUUGUUGCAAAGUUGAGGUUUUUAUUGUGGUUCUAACUCGUUUAGAAUUGCCCAGAAUCACUAUCAUUUUCUGUUCCUUGUGUAGUGAUCAGAAUUUCUUUUGGUUGGUAGCAUAUUUACAUUUUAUGAACCCAAGAGUCAGUACAUAAUAAAACAUGACAUUUUCCAGGCCAUGUGACUGCAUGUGAAGCGGUACAAUUGAACAACAACUGUGGUCCUUAUAGUGAAAGUAAAUGCUCUGCUAAGUGCUAUGGUAUAUGAUUAUACUUCCAAAACAUAGGUGCACAAAACUUAUACUUUUAAUUUAAAGAGAUUUUUUCAUUUUUGGCCCGUCGUCCGAAAUUAAUUGCGGGCACCAGCCAACAUAUACAAAGAUAUACACUGAUUAUGUAAAUAGUAUGUAUAUUUAUACUUAUUAUACAAAAUGUAUAUUAUGUAUAUUAUAUGUAUAUUUAUACUUGUUAUGCAAAACAUAUACAUUUGUUGGCUAUUAUUUUUUAGAGCAGUUCAAAAAGGUAAUUAUCCCUAAUUUAAAUGCCAUUUAAGAAGGUAAAAAAAAUUCUCACCAAAGAUUCAUUUUUCUUCAUUCAAUCUUGCACUUAUUUUUGUUUGCAGAUCAAUUACAGGAAAGGAAAAGAGCUCAUUCUUGAUAUACUUUUCUAUUUUUAUUUCUAAUUUCCCCUAUCAAACGUUUGAAUUCUUUUGCAACUCUCUCAAAUGUGCUGUACUGCAUGCAUAUUGUCAGGUUUCUUUGGAUUUGGUGUUCGAAUAUACAGGAAAUCACAAAAAAAAAAAAAAAAAAAAAAAAGAAGAAGAAGAAGAAGAAGAAGAAGAAGAAGCCAAAGAAGUUGGAUUUUCUGCUUGUCCUAUAUUGUUUGAUCUGACUCCGUGGGGUAACACAGUAUUCUGACAGUUGUUUGGCAAUCGCCAUCUACCCUUUAAUCUUUAUGUGUUUUGAGUUAGGAGUUCGAGCUGUAUCUAUUUGAUUAUUUACUCUUUAAAACUUUGAGUAAAAAUCAUAUAAUGACUUUGAUUGGUCAAUACAUUUUGUGAGAUUUCAAUUCUCCAUUUUAAAUAACUAUCUAGGGGUUUUACCCAAUGGUACUAGCACCACCUGACCAAGUAAAAAAGAAUGGUACUUCCUGUUUACAAGCUUGAUGUAUAUGUUUUACACCAUUUGUAAUCUUUCAGCUGCAUCUCUGCUGAAAUUUACCUUGAUGUAAUAUUUACCCAAUUUUCUUUUC